ACGAGGGGGGCAAGCGUUGUUCGGAAUUACUGGGCGUAAAGGGCUCGUAGGCGGCCAACUAAGUCAGACGUGAAAUCCCUCGGCUUAACCGGGGAACUGCGUCUGAUACUGGAUGGCUCGAGUUUGGGAGAGGGAUGCGGAAUUCCAGGUGUAGCGGUGAAAUGCGUAGAUAUCUGGAGGAACACCGGUGGCGAAGGCGGCAUCCUGGACCAACACUGACGCUGAGGAGCGAAAGCCAGGGGAGCAAACGGGAUUAGAAACCCCCGUAGUCC
Molecule: ribosomal RNA, 272 nt
Filed under: uncultured bacterium
Lineage: Bacteria
Description: partial 16S ribosomal RNA
Rfam family: Bacterial small subunit ribosomal RNA
Source: RNAcentral